This 504-nucleotide ribosomal RNA is filed under the name uncultured bacterium. Its description in RNAcentral is "bacterial SSU rRNA". It matches the Rfam family "Bacterial small subunit ribosomal RNA", at positions 9 to 503 of the family's 1533-position model. The record is from RNAcentral.
GAGUUUGAUCCUGGCUCAGGAUGAACGCUAGCUACAGGCUUAACACAUGCAAGUCGAGGGGCAGCAUGAACUUAGCUUGCUAAGUUUGAUGGCGACCGGCGCACGGGUGAGUAACACGUAUCCAACCUGCCGAUGACUCGGGGAUAGCCUUUCGAAAGAAAGAUUAAUACCCGAUGGCAUAGUUCUUCCGCAUGGUAGAACUAUUAAAGAACUUCGGUCAUCGAUGGGGAUGCGUUCCAUUAGGUUGUUGGCGGGGUAACGGCCCACCAAGCCUUCGAUGGAUAGGGGUUCUGAGAGGAAGGCCCCCCACAUUGGAACUGAGACACGGUCCAAACUCCUACGGGAGGCAGCAGUGAGGAAUAUUGGUCAAUGGACGAGAGUCUGAACCAGCCAAGUAGCGUGAAGGAUGACUGCCCUAUGGGUUGUAAACUUCUUUUAUACGGGAAUAAAGUGAGGCACGUGUGCCUUUUUGUAUGUACCGUAUGAAUAAGGAUCGGCUAACUC